CGGGGAUUAGUUUAAUGGUAGAAUUCGCGGCUGGGGGCCGUGCGGCAACAGUUCGAUUCUGUUAUCCCCGA
RNAcentral lists this transfer RNA (71 nucleotides) under Patescibacteria group bacterium. RNAcentral describes it as "tRNA-Pro". It matches the Rfam family "tRNA". Rfam says of the family: Transfer RNA (tRNA) molecules are approximately 80 nucleotides in length. The record is from RNAcentral.